Molecule: non-coding RNA, 168 nt
Filed under: Rosistilla oblonga
Lineage: Bacteria; Pseudomonadati; Planctomycetota; Planctomycetia; Pirellulales; Pirellulaceae
Source: RNAcentral
CCGCCGGUGACUGCGGGUCUGAAGGAAGCGAUAGGAGGACGAUGGAACGUAGCGAAAGCGAACCCGAUUCGGCUGCCGGCGGGGGCGAGCGUGCAAAAAGUCGCGAUGCCCGAUACAUGAACAGCCGCCGGAAGUGUUUGGGGACGUCAUCAUCGUCAGGGAGCCAGU